RNAcentral lists this ribosomal RNA (429 nucleotides) under bacterium. RNAcentral's name for it is "partial 16S ribosomal RNA". It matches the Rfam family "Bacterial small subunit ribosomal RNA", at positions 355 to 776 of the family's 1533-position model. The record is from RNAcentral.
UAGGGUAUCUCCGGCAACGGGGGCAACCCUGACCGAGCAACGCCGCGUGAGUGAAGAAGGUUUUCGGAUCGUAAAGCUCUGUUGUAAGAGAAGAACGUGUGUGAGAGUGGAAAGUUCACACAGUGACGGUAACUUACCAGAAAGGGACGGCUAACUACGUGCCAGCAGCCGCGGUAAUACGUAGGUCCCGAGCGUUGUCCGGAUUUAUUGGGCGUAAAGCGCGCGCAGGCGGUUUAAUAAGUCUGAAGUUAAAGGCAGUGGCUUACCCAUUGUUCGCUUUGGAAACUGUUAAACUUGAGUGCAGAAGGGGAGAGUGGAAUUCCAUGUGUAGCGGUGAAAUGCGUGGAUAUAUGGAGGAAACCAGGUGGCGAGAGCGGCGCUCUGGUCUGUGACUGACGCUGAGGCUCGAAAGCGUGGGGAGCAAACAGG